This 1369-nucleotide ribosomal RNA is filed under the name uncultured bacterium. Its description in RNAcentral is "bacterial SSU rRNA". It matches the Rfam family "Bacterial small subunit ribosomal RNA", at positions 28 to 1381 of the family's 1533-position model. The record is from RNAcentral.
GACGAACGCUGGCGGCGUGCCUAAUACAUGCAAGUAGAACGCUGAAGAGAGGAGCUUGCUCUUCUUGGAUGAGUUGCGAACGGGUGAGUAACGCGUAGGUAACCUGCCUUGUAGCGGGGGAUAACUAUUGGAAACGAUAGCUAAUACCGCAUAACAAUGGAUGACACAUGUCAUUUAUUUGAAAGGGGCAAUUGCUCCACUACAAGAUGGACCUGCGUUGUAUUAGCUAGUAGGUGAGGUAACGGCUCACCUAGGCGACGAUACAUAGCCGACCUGAGAGGGUGAUCGGCCACACUGGGACUGAGACACGGCCCAGACUCCUACGGGAGGCAGCAGUAGGGAAUCUUCGGCAAUGGGGGCAACCCUGACCGAGCAACGCCGCGUGAGUGAAGAAGGUUUUCGGAUCGUAAAGCUCUGUUGUAAGUCAAGAACGAGUGUGAGAGUGGAAAGUUCACACUGUGACGGUAGCUUACCAGAAAGGGACGGCUAACUACGUGCCAGCAGCCGCGGUAAUACGUAGGUCCCGAGCGUUGUCCGGAUUUAUUGGGCGUAAAGCGAGCGCAGGCGGUUUGAUAAGUCUGAAGUUAAAGGCUGUGGCUCAACCAUAGUUCGCUUUGGAAACUGUCAAACUUGGGUGCAGAAGGGGAGAGUGGAAUUCCAUGUGUAGCGGUGAAAUGCGUAGAUAUAUGGAGGAACACCGGUGGCGAAAGCGGCUCUCUGGUCUGUAACUGACGCUGAGGCUCGAAAGCGUGGGGAGCGAACAGGAUUAGAUACCCUGGUAGUCCACGCCGUAAACGAUGAGUGCUAGGUGUUGGAUCCUUUCCGGGAUUCAGUGCCGCAGCUAACGCAUUAAGCACUCCGCCUGGGGAGUACGACCGCAAGGUUGAAACUCAAAGGAAUUGACGGGGGCCCGCACAAGAGGUGGAGCAUGUGGUUUAAUUCGAAGCAACGCGAAGAACCUUACCAGGUCUUGACAUCCCGAUGCUAUUUCUAGAGAUAGAAAGUUACUUCGGUACAUCGGUGACAGGUGGUGCAUGGUUGUCGUCAGCUCGUGUCGUGAGAUGUUGGGUUAAGUCCCGCAACGAGCGCAACCCCUAUUGUUAGUUGCCAUCAUUCAGUUGGGCACUCUAGCGAGACUGCCGGUAAUAAACCGGAGGAAGGUGGGGAUGACGUCAAAUCAUCAUGCCCCUUAUGACCUGGGCUACACACGUGCUACAAUGGUUGGUACAACGAGUUGCGAGUCGGUGACGGCAAGCUAAUCUCUUAAAGCCAAUCUCAGUUCGGAUUGUAGGCUGCAACUCGCCUACAUGAAGUCGGAAUCGCUAGUAAUCGCGGAUCAGCACGCCGCGGUGAAUACGUUCCCGGGCCU